GUGCCAGCAGCCGCGGUAAUACCGGUGGCUCGAGUGGUGGCCGCUAUUAUUGGGUCUAAAGGGUCCGUAGCCGCCUGAUAAGUACCUGGGAAAUCCGGUUGGCCUAACCAUCGGGCGGCCAGGUAAUACUAUCAGGCUCGGGACUAGGAGAGACCAGAGGUACUCAUGAGGUANGAGUGAAAUCCUGUAAUCUUAUGAGGACCACCAGUGGUGAAGACGUCUGGUUAGAAUAGGUCCGACGGUGAGGGGCGAAGGCUGGGGGCGCAAACCAGAUUAGAUACCCGGGUAGUCCCAGCAGUAAACGAUGCCAGCUAUGUGUUGCUGGAACCAUGGGUUCCAGCAGUGCCGAAGGGAAGCCGUGAAGCUGGCCACCUGGGAAGUACGGUCGCAAGGCUGAAACUUAAAGGAAUUGGCGGGGGAGUACCACAACCGGUGGAGCCUGCGGUUUAAUUGGAUACAACGCCGGGAAUCUUACCGGAGGGGACAGCAGUAUGAAGGCCAGGCUAAAGACCUUGCCAGAUCAGCUGAGAGGAGG
This 535-nucleotide ribosomal RNA is filed under the name uncultured bacterium. Its description in RNAcentral is "bacterial SSU rRNA". It matches the Rfam family "Archaeal small subunit ribosomal RNA", at positions 455 to 990 of the family's 1478-position model. The record is from RNAcentral.